UUUUUUCUCGGGAAAUUAGAAAGUAUAUCCUGCCCUAUGAUGAUUUAAAUGGCCGCGGAAAUUAACUGUGCAAAGGUAGCAUAAUAMUUAGUUUUUUAAUUGAAAAAUGGUAUGAAUGGGUGUUUAUAYUUAAUUUAGUGAGAUUAGUAAAAAAUUGAAUUUGAAUUUAGAGUAAAAAUUCUUUAUUAAAUCUAAGGGGCGAUAAGACCCUAUAGAUCUWUAUUUUGUGUGURUAUCUUARAAGGAUUAAYYGGGYUAAAAUAYAAAAYUUUAUUGGGGUGMUAAAAGAAAUUUAUUAACUUCUUAAUAGGUAAAUAUCUUAAAUUUAGGAUUUAGAAAAAGAUACCUUACGGAUAACAGCGUUAUUUUAUUUGAGAGAUCUUAUUAAUAAUAAAGAUUACGACCUCGAUGUUGRAUUAAAA
This 422-nucleotide ribosomal RNA is filed under the name Megalothorax sp. EA040002-cs12. RNAcentral describes it as "partial 16S ribosomal RNA". Lineage: Eukaryota; Metazoa; Arthropoda; Collembola; Neelipleona; Neelidae. The record is from RNAcentral.